GGCUCCUUGUAAAAAUCAAAUAAGGAGUCGGGCCUGCCCAGUGAGUAUUUUAACGGCCGCGGUAUUCUGACCGUGCAAAGGUAGCAUAAUCAUUUGCCUUAUAAUUGAAGGCUGGAAUGAAUGGUUUAACAAGAAUAUAACUGUCUCUUUAUGAUUUUAUAGAAUUUUAUCUCUAGGUGAAGAAGCCUAGUUGUAAUUAAAAGACAAGAAGACCCUAUCGAGCUUUAAAAAAAUCAGUAGGUUACAUUAUAAUAAAACUAAAAACCUAGCUACUGAAAAUUUUAGUUGGGGCAACUGAGGAAUAAAGCUUCCUUGAGAAAUAUAAAUUUUACAGAAAAUGAUCCAAAAAUUUUUGAUUAAGGGAAUUAGUUACCGUAGGGAUAACAGCAUAAUCUUUUUUUAGAGUUCUAAUCGAAAAAAGGGUUUGUGACCUCGAUGUUGGAUCAGAAUAUCCUAAAGAUGCAGUAGUCUUUAAGGGUUGGUCUGUUCGACCAUUAAAAUUCUACG
This 507-nucleotide ribosomal RNA is filed under the name Cinctura hunteria. RNAcentral describes it as "partial 16S ribosomal RNA". It matches the Rfam family "Bacterial large subunit ribosomal RNA", at positions 1817 to 2600 of the family's 2925-position model. Lineage: Eukaryota; Metazoa; Mollusca; Gastropoda; Neogastropoda; Fasciolariidae. The record is from RNAcentral.